This 458-nucleotide ribosomal RNA is filed under the name uncultured bacterium. RNAcentral's name for it is "partial 16S ribosomal RNA". It matches the Rfam family "Bacterial small subunit ribosomal RNA", at positions 29 to 506 of the family's 1533-position model. The record is from RNAcentral.
AGCGAACGCUGGCGGCAGGCCUAACACAUGCAAGUCGAACGAACCUUUCGGGGUUAGUGGCGGACGGGUGAGUAACACGUGGGAACGUGCCUUUAGGUUCGGAAUAACUCAGGGAAACUUGUGCUAAUACCGAAUGUGCCCUUCGGGGGAAAGAUUUAUCGCCUUUAGAGCGGCCCGCGUCUGAUUAGCUAGUUGGUUGAGGUAAUGGCUCACCAAGGCAACGAUCAGUAGCUGGUCUGAGAGGAUGAUCAGCCACAUUGGGACUGAGACACGGCCCAAACCCCUACGGGAGGCAGCAGGAGGGAAUGGUACGCAAUGGGCGAAAGGGUGACGGAGCAACGACGCGGGAGUGAGGAAGGUCUGCGGAUCGUAAAACUCUGUUAUUAGGGAAGAAGAGAUGUGUAAGUAACUGUGCACAUAUUGACGGUAGCUAAUCAGAAAGCCACGGCGAACUAAGU